RNAcentral lists this ribosomal RNA (408 nucleotides) under uncultured bacterium. Its description in RNAcentral is "partial 16S ribosomal RNA". It matches the Rfam family "Bacterial small subunit ribosomal RNA", at positions 29 to 526 of the family's 1533-position model. The record is from RNAcentral.
AGUGAACGCUGGCGGCGUGCCUAAUACAUGCAAGUCGAACGGAGUGGCGCACGGGUGAGUCAUGUAUAGCUAAUCUGCCCUACACUAGAGGACAACAAUUGGAAACGACUGCUAAUACUCUAUAGUGUAGGAUGAGGCUAUAUUGUAUCAGCUAGUUGGUGAGGUAAUGUCUCACCAAGGCUAUGACGCAUAACUGGUCUGAGAGGAUGAGCACUCACACUGGAACUGAGACACCGGCCAGACUCCUACGGGAGGCAGCAGUAGGGAAUAUUGCUCAAGCGGGGAGACCCUGAAGGAGCAACGCCGCGUGGAGGAUGACACUUUGCGGAGCGUAAACUCCUUUUGUUAGGGAAGCGGUACCUAACGAAUAAGCACCGGCUAACUCCGUGCCAGCAGCCGCGGUAAUUC